GGUUGAUGACACUACACCAUCAACCAUCAUGACAAAUUGGUUGAUGACACUACACCAUCAACCAUCAUGACAAAUUGGUUGAUGACACUACACCAUCAUGACAAAUUGGUUGAUGACACUACACCAUCAACCAUCAUGACAAAUUGGUUGAUGACACUACACCAUCAUGACAAAUUGGUUGAUGACACUACACCAUCAACCAUCAUGACAAAUUGGUUGAUGACACUACACCAUCAACAUAGGCUGAUGACACUAUACCAUCAACAUUGUCUGAUGACACUACACCAUCAACAUAGGCUGAUGACACUACACCAUCAACAUUGUCUGAUGACACUACACCAUCAACAUAGGCUGAUGACACUACACCAUCAACAUAGGCUGAUGACACUACACCAUCAACAUAGGCUGAUGACACUACACCAUCAACAUAGGCUGAUGACACUACACCAUCAACAUAGGCUGAUGACACUACACCAUCAACAUAGGCUGAUGACACUACACCAUCAACAUAGGCUGAUGACACUACAGCAUCAACAUAGGCUGAUGACACUAGCUCAAAUGUUAUGCCUUUUUUUUGUUCACUUGUUCUCAUCAAUUUUGUUUCUGCAACCUUAUUUAACUUUUCUGUAUCACUUUGUUUACCAAAAUGAGCACUUGUUUUGGAAGUGACCCUAAAUGAAGGAUGCUUUCCUUGGGAGGGCAUGGGUUGACUAUAUUUUAUAUGCAACUUUUGUAAAAGUCUACAUUUUAUACCUGAUUUGUAAUUAUGUAAAUGAAGGCUCCAGAUGAUCAAAUCAGAUAAUGUAUGCUUCUGAUUGGAGAGCAACGUCAGGAUAAAGCACAAGUGGACUUUAAUUGUGAACUUAACAUAUAUAUUGUAUCUGCUUAUUACCAUACUGGAAUUUAUUUCAAUUGCAAAUUAAACACAGCUUUUCUCACAA
This is a long non-coding RNA of Oncorhynchus tshawytscha (Chinook salmon), 941 nucleotides long. NCBI's taxonomy places the organism in Eukaryota, Metazoa, Chordata, Actinopteri, Salmoniformes, Salmonidae. The record is from Ensembl.